Oncorhynchus kisutch (coho salmon) is the source of this 1154-nucleotide long non-coding RNA. RefSeq lists it as uncharacterized. The transcript is spliced from 2 exons. The record is from RefSeq and is a predicted model, not a curated record. NCBI's taxonomy places the organism in Eukaryota, Metazoa, Chordata, Actinopteri, Salmoniformes, Salmonidae.
AGCCCCCAGUGGAUAUACACUACACAAAACAGACUUCCUCUCUGGGUGGAAUGCAACAUAGAGUCCGCUGCCACCGUAAACCAUUCUUGAACGCCACAAUUGAACGAGUAUAGAAAUAAACGUGGUAGCAAUGUAAAACUGGGAUCCUAUUCUUUAAAAAAACAAAAAAACAAAGGCCAAAAGUUAUUUCAAACGUGUUCUCAUGCUGUUUGCAUUAAGAAUAGUUGUGCAUUGACUGCUUGAACACGUUUCUUUCCUUUGGCUCUAGCAUUAAAUGCGUCUCAAGAGGAAUAUUUAUCUCGCAUAGCACACACAAGCCGACUAGACCUGAGCCCUAGGACCAUGCCUCAGGACUACCUGGCCUGAUGACUCCUUGCUGUCUCCAGUCCACCUGGUCGUGCUGCUGCUCCAGUUUCAACUGUUCUGCCUGUGUCUAUGAAACCCUGACCUUUUCACCGGUCAUGCUACCUUGUCCCAGACCUGCUGUUUUCAACUCUCUAGAGGCAGCAGGAGCUGUAAAGAUACUCUGAAUGAUUGGCUAUGAAAAGCCAACUGACAUUUACUCCUGAGGUGUUGACCUGUUGCACCCUCUACAACCACUGUGAUAAUUAUUAUUUGACCCUGCUGGUCAUCUAUGAACAUUUGAACAUCUUGGCCAUGUUCUGUUAUAAUCUCCACCCGGCACAGCAAGAAGAGGACUGGCCACCCCUCAUAGCCUGGUUCCUCUCUAGGUUUCUUCCUAGGUUCUGGCCUUUCUAGGGAGUAUUUCCUAGCCCCCGUGCUUCUACACCUACAUUGCUUGCUGUUUGGGGUUUUAGGCUGGGUUUCUGUAUAACACUUUGUGACAUCAGCUGAUGUAAGUAGGGCUUUAUAAAUACAUUUGAUUGACUGAGUGUUGCCAUUGUUUAUAAAAGUAAUUUUUCUAUAAUGUUGAAAUAAACACGUAGCUAACCCCAAUAUCACACACACAAACAGAAAUCAUAAUACAAUACUAUGUGUGUACACAUAGUACGAUCAAUUAGAGAAAGCCUCAAAUAUCACAUUUAUUCGUAUAAAUCCAUUGUAAUCAUAAAUCACAGCAAAUUGGUUUGUGUUUCAAAUCCAAUCCAAUGUUAUUUGUCACAUGCUUCGUAAAUAACAGGUUUAGACUAACA